GGAUAUAUAGCUCAAGUGGUAGAGCCCAUGUUUAGCAUGCACAGAGAUCCUGGGUUCAACCCCCAGUACCUCCU
This 74-nucleotide transfer RNA is filed under the name Camelus bactrianus (Bactrian camel). It matches the Rfam family "tRNA". Rfam says of the family: Transfer RNA (tRNA) molecules are approximately 80 nucleotides in length. Their secondary structure includes four short double-helical elements and three loops (D, anti-codon, and T loops). The record is from Rfam by way of RNAcentral. Lineage: Eukaryota; Metazoa; Chordata; Mammalia; Artiodactyla; Camelidae. RNAcentral also lists the same sequence under 2 other names.